ACUCCUACGGGAGGCAGCAGUGGGGAAUAUUGGACAAUGGGCGGAAGCCUGAUCCAGCAACGCCGCGUGAGGGAUGACGGCCUUCGGGUUGUAAACCUCUUUCACCAUUGACGAAGCUGCAUCUUUUUGGGUGUGGUGACGGUGGGUGGGGAAGAAGCACCGGCCAAYUACGUGCCAGCAGCCGCGGUAAUACGUAGGGUGCGAGCGUUGUCCGGAAUUAUUGGGCGUAAAGGGCUCGUAGGCGGUUUGUCGCGUCGGGAGUGAAAACCUUGGGCUUAACUCAGGGCUUGCUUUCGAUACGGGCAGACUAGAGGUAUGCAGGGGAGAACGGAAUUCCUGGUGUAGCGGUGAAAUGCGCAGAUAUCAGGAGGAACACCGGUGGCGAAGGCGGUUCUCUGGGCAUGAUCUGACGCUGAGGAGCGAAAGUGUGGGGAGCGAACAGGAUUAGAUACCCUGGUAGUCCACACCGUAAACGUUGGGCGCUAGGUGUGGGGUCCAUUCCACGGGUUCCGUGCCGCAGCUAACGCAUUAAGCGCCCCSCCUGGGGRGUACGGCCGCAAGGCUAAAACUCAAAGGAAUUGACGRWGU
This 588-nucleotide ribosomal RNA is filed under the name uncultured Nocardioides sp. Its description in RNAcentral is "bacterial SSU rRNA". It matches the Rfam family "Bacterial small subunit ribosomal RNA", at positions 335 to 919 of the family's 1533-position model. The record is from RNAcentral. Lineage: Bacteria; Bacillati; Actinomycetota; Actinomycetes; Propionibacteriales; Nocardioidaceae.